UCUAUAUCUAUAUCUAACGUAAGUAUCUAUACUAAUCUAAUAUUCUGCCCCGUGUGCUGGGAGGCGCGCGGUAUAUAUACAAACAUAAUCAGCGUCUUAAUUGCUGACGGCUGACAGCACUUCAGACACACGUGAAAUAACAGCCAAUGAAAGAACAGGGAGGAAACAUAACAAAAGCACGUGUCCAAAUGUCACGGUUGUCAACAAAGGAAAAGUAGGUGCUCGCGCACCUUGCUCGUGCACGCGCGCUCACAUGCUCCACAGCGCGCUGCAUAAAGGGGAAACCGUGACAAGUAGUUAGGAACUGGGCUGAGAAACAAGAGAUUAGGGAUUAAACGCUGUUCUCUCUCUGCUGAUAUUCCGACAGAAGUCACAGGACACACAGGUGGUUCAGUGCUGUUCCCCUGCUCCUGCUCUGACCUGCACACCAAACCUCAGAUAUUCACCUGGUGGACCUUCAGAACAGGACGUGCGACAGAAGUGUUAAAUGAUGAACACUACCGUGGCAGACUUCAGCUGUUUAAUCACAUUUCUCCUGCUAAUCUGUCUCUGUUCAUAUCUGACCUGAGAGAAGAGGAUGCGGUAGACUACAGGUGCAGCGCUGAGAAGGACCACAGAGACAUCAAGCUUCAUGUUAAAGAAAAAAAAGAAACUUCAACAAGCUCCAGGAAAACAGACACAACACCUCCAUCAGAACCGCCUCAGAGUAAAACAACAAACUCUCCACCUGCAUCAUCCUCAACAACCCUGGAACAAGGUAAACAGCAAACACAGCAGCAAGGCUUUCAGUGCCAAAAUUUUUAAUCAGCAAUGAAACAACACAUCUUUUAUUACAUUUAUUUACUGAAUUAUAUCUCUGACAAUGUCUGGAUCUAUAAUAACUCAUAUUGUCAUGACUUCCCCUCGAGCUAGCGCUGUAGCACGCAGCGUGUUCGGAAACCCGAAGCGCGAGCCGAUGCAUGAGCUCUUAGCGAACGCACACUUUUGGGGCUUUUGGGGCUAGAAAGUCUUAGCUGAAAUCUGGGCCCCCUACAAGACCACAUUCUUACCCAGGUCAAACAUCUGGGGGUGAUCUUCGAUUCGGAAGUACAGUUUGACAAACAAAUUCUGUUGUCAGAGCUAGUUUUCCAGCUUAGGGGACUUUUGCAAGUUAAAAUAUUUUCUCAAAUUUAAAGAUCGUGAGACUGUUAUUCACACUUUUAUUUCAUUAAGGCUUGAUUACUGCAAUGCCCUGUAUGCUGGAAUUAGCCUGUCUUCAAUCUUGCGCUUGCAACUUGUACAGAACGCUGCAGCUCGCUUUUUGACUGGGACCAAAAAGAGAGAGUACGUAAGACCCAUCUUAGCCUCACUCCUAUUGUUUGUUUUUAAAGUCUUGCAUGGUCUCGCCCCAUAUAUAUUUCAGAUCUCCUCAGCUUUCGCUCUUCCACACGUUCGCUCAGAUCCUCCUCUCAGUUGUUACUGACCAUUCCAAACUCACGAUUACAAACCAAAGGCGAUAGGGCCUUUUCUGUAAUGGCACUGAUGCUUUGGAAUAGCUUGCCCCUCUCUACCAGAUCUUCCCCUACAAUAAAUUUAUUUUAAUCACCCUUUAUAUUAAACUUAUUUCUUCACGCAGGCUUAUCUAUAAUCUGCCCUGUCUAGCUGCUUAUUCUCUGGUCUUAGUUAUAUCUGGUUUGUUUUCUUAUAGUAAUUAUUUAUUUAUAUAUUUAUGUUAAUGAUAUUUUAUGUUCUAUUUUAAUGUAUUCCUUAUUAUGCAUGAUCUGCAGCACGUAGUUCAACAUUUGUGUUGUUUUAAAUGUGCUAUAUAAAUUAAUUUGACUUUGAAUCAUAUAAAGUGUAAUAGAAAAGUUCUUUUCCUGUAACUUGUAACUGUCACGUCUUCAUUCUGGUCUUAGCUGUAAAUAGAUGCGUGUGAAUUUCACACCUUUUUCUGCUGUCUCUCUGUCAGUGACCAUCUUCACUUCCUGCAUUACGAAUAAACAAACAAACAAUUAUCUGCUUGUUGCAUGUACCAAUUCUCAAAUUAUCCCAAAACGUAUUUUCCAUAUGAACUAAUAAUAUGGAAAUUUAAUUGAAUAAUUUAAUUUCCAUAUUCAUUAAUAAUCAUUCAUUCUUAUUAAUACAGUACAUGUUUUCAUUAAUGACUGUGAGCAUGCUUCACUCCAGUGUCAUGUGCCAUAUUACUAACAGUGAUAAAAACAGUCAUUAGUUUUAAUAAGUUUUGUCUUUUCUGUAGGAAGAAGAGAAACUUCAACACACUCGAGGAAAACAGACACAACACCUCCAUCAGAACCGCCUCAGAGUAAACCAACAAACUCUCCACCUGCAUCAUCCUCAACAACACUGGAACAAGAUAAACAGCAAACACACAGCAGCCUCCCUCUAGUUUUCGGCAUUCUGGUGGUUUUACUGCUGGUGAUACCCGGAGUAGUGGCAUUUAUUUGUUGGAAACGCAAAGGAGGAAGAUGUGGAGAGAACGUGAUUACUGAAGGACGUCCGGACUGUAAGAGAAAGCAGAAGGAUCAGACUGAACCUGAUGUUACUUACUCUACUGUAACCCACAUGAACACAGCCGGAGCAGCACGGGUCCAGAUCAACGCUGGAGACAAAACUGAAUAUGCCAGCAUUCUAACAAUCUAAUCCACAGUAAAUAUCUAGAAUAAUACUGAAUACAUGCAGUAUAUUAAAUACACACCAUGGGAAGCAUGAUGAGCAUGUUACUGUGACUUUUUUUUAUUUGACCAUAAAUAGCAGAUUUAAUCAUAUUUGUGUGCUGAUGGAUAAUCCUGCAAAUUCUAUUUUUAAUGUUUGUGUCAUUUAUUAUCAUUUAUUAUUUUAUAUAAUUUGUUUUUUUAUUUACAUUUAUGACAUUUAGCAGACGCCCUUAUCCAGAGCGACUUACAUUUAUCUCAUUUAAACAGCUGAUCAAUUGAAGGUUAAGGGCCUCGCCCAAAAGUCCAACAAUGGUAGCUUGGCAGUGCUGCGGCUUGAACUCCUGACCUUCUGAUCAGUAAUCCAGAGACUUUAACCACUGAGACACCACUUAUAUGUUCUAGAAAUCUUUUGUCAUCACCCUGUUUUGCGUAAUACGACUGCCGUAGAAGUUCUUGUUUGUGACUGUCGUGGGAAAGUCUCUCUGGACUGAAUGUGUGUUUCUAAACUAGUUGUGGUGAAACUGUUGUGAAAACGGUCCUUAUAGCAUGUUAAAGGGUGCAUGAUAGUGUGCUUGUUGAGUGUGGAGUAUCACACAGCAUUCUCUGUGCAUGGCAUAACUGUCAUUAACUUUGAGAAAGAGGAAGUAGCCAUUUUCCCAUCAGUCCCCACUGCUCUGCCCUGGUCUUGCAGUCCCUCUGACAUGCUGAGUGUCUCACAGUGGCUCUGAAGUACCAUGAGAACGCUAGUUAUGCAUGAAACUGUGGUUUUAUAAACUGCUAAUACUUGUCAGAGGCGUGUGUAUGACCUUGCAACAAAGUCAUAAAGUGACAUGAUUGUAAUUUAGCAUCCUGCAUAAUAUCUUAAAGAGGGGCCUUAAAGGACUCUAGCACAUGUGAGGAGGGGAAUUGCUGUUACACCUGCUGUCAGUCCUUAAUAAUGUCUGCCACUUGUCAGAGUGCAUGAAUCGUGCAUGAACCGCUGACAUGAACCAAUCCUGUGGUUGCACGGUAUAGAUUACAUCUGACACCCUUAGCAGUCAGUCUUUUAGCACAGAGCAAAUCUCACAUUGCCUGGAACAUAGCAUCCUCUUUUCCAUAAAGAGAAGAAGAGAAGGAAACUUAUGGACUAUGGCUUAUAAACAACAUGGUGCAGCUAUAGGGUUAAUUAAUUUAUUUAUUAAUUCCUCUUCAGCAACUGUUUUAUCCUGGUCAGUGUUGUCAUGGAUUCGGACUCUAUCCCAGCAACACUGGGCACAAGGUGGGAGAAUUCAGAUGGGAUGCCAGUCCAUCUCAGAGCACCAUUCACACACAUUCACACCCAGGGGCAAUCUAACAUAGUAAACCUGCAUGUUUUUAGACAGUGGGAGGAAACGGCACACACAAACACAAGGAGGACGUGCAAACCUCUGCACAGACAUUAACAUGAUUUCAUUUAAUGAUCUAUAAGGAUCUUGUUGACUGCACAAUCAUGUCUACACUCUUAUUUUCUGUUUAUGUCAUAUUCUAAGUCUUCCAGGCAUCUCACCAGGUCUAAACAUUUUUUUCUGUUUUCUUUACGUUAAGUUUCUUGCUCUUCUUGGUUUUGCUUGUGCACACACUUCUUAAAUAAUAUAAUAUUUGCAUCAUUUGAAAAUAUAUUAAAGCUUUUACUUGAAAUAUUUGUCAAAUUCCUGUAGCUUGUUUGUAGCUUAUGUAUUUUCAUACUAU
Ictalurus punctatus (channel catfish) is the source of this 4361-nucleotide long non-coding RNA. RefSeq lists it as uncharacterized. The record is from RefSeq and is a predicted model, not a curated record. The transcript has 6 exons. NCBI's taxonomy places the organism in Eukaryota, Metazoa, Chordata, Actinopteri, Siluriformes, Ictaluridae.